GACGAACGCUGGCGGCGUGCUUAACACAUGCAAGUCGAGCGGUAAGGCCCUUUCGGGGGUACGACGAGCGGCGAACGGGUGAGUAACACGUGGGUGACCUGCCCUCAGCUCUGGGAUAAGCCUGGGAAACCGGGUCUAAUACUGGAUAUGACUCCAUGACGCAUGUUGUGGGGUGGAAAGCCUUGUGCGGCUGAGGAUGGGCCCGCGGCCUAUCAGCUUGUUGGUGGGGGUGAGGCCUACCAAGGCGACGACGGGUAGCCGGCCUGAGAGGGCGACCGGCCACACUGGGACUGAGACACGGCUCAGACUCCUACGGGAGGGCAGCAGUGGGGAAUCUUGCGCAAUGGGCGAAAGCCUGACGCAGCGACGCCGCGUGAGGGAUGACGGCCUGGUGUAA
RNAcentral lists this ribosomal RNA (397 nucleotides) under uncultured bacterium. Its description in RNAcentral is "bacterial SSU rRNA". It matches the Rfam family "Bacterial small subunit ribosomal RNA", at positions 28 to 428 of the family's 1533-position model. The record is from RNAcentral.